GCUCUGGAUUGAUGCAAAAACUUAUUUUUUUGUACAACCUAGUGUAGACAUAUCUCAAUUAGAAGGGGUCUUAGAUAUAGCUGCUUUAUCUUUUCCAUAGAUGAUAUGAAUCACUCUAUUCCAAAUCACGCGAGCAGCCAUACCUUCUCAAUUCUUAUACUGCUUACAUGAUUGCUGGCAAGGCUGCUUACAUGAUUGCUGGCAAGGCUUAUUCUCAAUUCAAGAUACAGUAUUGACAUUUUUAACUAACCAAAAAAGCCAAGAUUUGUCCUCCAUGAGGUCAACAUUGGAUCCCAAAU
RNAcentral lists this long non-coding RNA (299 nucleotides) under Olea europaea (common olive). RNAcentral describes it as "long non-coding RNA (OEUR_LNC001068)". The record is from RNAcentral. Lineage: Eukaryota; Viridiplantae; Streptophyta; Magnoliopsida; Lamiales; Oleaceae.